Molecule: ribosomal RNA, 205 nt
Filed under: uncultured bacterium
Lineage: Bacteria
Description: partial 16S ribosomal RNA
Rfam family: Bacterial small subunit ribosomal RNA
Source: RNAcentral
UACGAAGGGGGCUAGCGUUGCUCGGAAUUACUGGGCGUAAAGCGCACGUAGGCGGCUUUCUAAGUCGGGGUGAAAUCCUGGAGCUCAACUCCAGAACUGCCUUCGAUACUGGCGAUCUUGAGUCCGGAAGAGGUGAGUGGAACUCCUAGUGUAGAGGUGGAAUUCGUAGAUAUUAGGAAGAACACCAGUGGCGAAGGGCGGCUAC